CAGAGAAUAGUUUAAAUAAAAAUAUUAAUUUUGGAGAUUAAUGAUAGAAGUAAUUUUUUUUCUCUGA
This 67-nucleotide transfer RNA is filed under the name Scarabaeoidea sp. KM-2017. RNAcentral describes it as "tRNA-Pro". Lineage: Eukaryota; Metazoa; Arthropoda; Insecta; Coleoptera. The record is from RNAcentral.